Long non-coding RNA from Leguminivora glycinivorella, 201 nucleotides. RefSeq lists it as uncharacterized. The transcript is spliced from 2 exons. NCBI's taxonomy places the organism in Eukaryota, Metazoa, Arthropoda, Insecta, Lepidoptera, Tortricidae. The record is from RefSeq and is a predicted model, not a curated record.
GGCGGUUGAGUGUCGAUAGCGGGUGGUUGAUCGUUAAAAAUAAUUGUAGUUUUUUGUAGUUUUUGGAAGCGAUUCUGAUUAAAUUGCAUUAAUUACUGUUGAUAAUCCAUUUUGAUAGUGUCUGGCGUAGCGCUAUUACUUCGAACAAAAUUUAUUUAAUUAAAAAAUCGACAUGACACUGGCAAAUCAUUUGGAAGCCAA